Molecule: long non-coding RNA, 695 nt
Filed under: Homo sapiens (human)
Lineage: Eukaryota; Metazoa; Chordata; Mammalia; Primates; Hominidae
Description: HSALNT0332793
Source: RNAcentral
GCGACACUGCACUCCAGCCUAGGUGAUAGACGAGACUCUGUCUCAAAAUAAUAAUAAAAAGGUGUGAUGGGGGAAGAUACUACCAUUCUCAUUUCAUUGAUGAUGGAUACUAGAAUGAGAGUGGGAUUGUUGCUCAAAGUUACAAUGCCAGGAAGAGGCACAGCUGGGACUGAUGCUUAGGUUUUCUAGCCAUUUGCUCAAUAUUCCUGGAUGCCCAGUGUCUCCCCACCUUGCCGUCUAUCUCUCUCAUAUUUCCAUCUGGUACAACCCUCUACCCAGUUCUUCAACCCACUCUUUCCUUUGUUUUCAUCACUCUCAUAUCCUAUAUGGUACCGUCUUGCCCAUUCUACUUUCAAACCACAUCCCACAUAUGUUCUAUUUGCUCCCUGUCUAUCAUAUACAUCCCCAUCCAAGCUAGCAUCGCUUCUCACCUGAGCAACAGUAAUAGCUGCCUGUCUGGCCUCUGGCUCCCACUCUUACAUCCCCAUGUCUAUUCUGUACAUAGCAGCCAAGUGACUUUCUUAAAACACACAUCAAACCCUGUUCCUUCCCUGCUCAGAACCCUUGAAAUGCCCUUUGAAUGAACUCAAAACUCUUCAUCCCAGCCACCAAUACACUAAGCCACACAUGACCUGGUCUCUGCCUGUCUCUGAUCUUCUCCCCACAUCUCCCACCUCAGUGGGAUGGAUCGGGAG